RNAcentral lists this ribosomal RNA (253 nucleotides) under uncultured bacterium. Its description in RNAcentral is "partial 16S ribosomal RNA". It matches the Rfam family "Bacterial small subunit ribosomal RNA", at positions 524 to 776 of the family's 1533-position model. The record is from RNAcentral.
UACGUAGGGGGCAAGCGUUGUUCGGAAUUACUGGGCGUAAAGCGCGCGUAGGCGGCCUUCUAAGUCGGACGUGAAAUCCCUGGGCUCAACCCAGGAACUGCGUCCGAUACUGGGAGGCUUGAGUCCGGGAGAGGGAUGUGGAAUUCCAGGUGUAGCGGUGAAAUGCGUAGAUAUCUGGAGGAACACCGGUGGCGAAGGCGGCAUCCUGGACCGGUAUUGACGCUGAUGCGCGAAAGCCAGGGGAGCAAACGGG